This 413-nucleotide long non-coding RNA is filed under the name Panax ginseng (ginseng). RNAcentral describes it as "long non-coding RNA (PGIN_LNC014303)". Lineage: Eukaryota; Viridiplantae; Streptophyta; Magnoliopsida; Apiales; Araliaceae. The record is from RNAcentral.
UAGGUACCAUUCGGUGCUUGAAUUUUAUAAAAACAAAAAUAAGGUUAAUUCAAUUACAUUGAUAACUUAGUCCAACUGAAUUUUCAAUUUAAUGAUUUUGAUAUAAACCCUAAAAAACUCCAAACUGAAAAGACAGAGAGAAAGAGGGUGUGAACCUCAUAAAUUGAAGUGAUAGGGGUGUUAUUGUCGCCACCGUCGUGCUAGGUGUUGUUACCGUCAUAUAUCGCCGCUGUUAGAUCCAACUGAUUUUCUUUGUUAUGUGCUACCAUAGAGAGCGCAGCUGGGGGAGAACGUGAGAACCAAGGGGGAGGAGGUGGGGAUCAGUGCCAAGGAGGUGAUGGCGCGAGGUGGUGAAAGUGGUGGAGAGGGAGUUCUAGAAAGAGAGAGAACUGGUGCAGAGUGAUGGAGAGGGG